GCAUAUCAAUAAGCGGAGGAAAAGAAACCAACAGGGAUUGCCCCAGUAACGGCGAGUGAAGCGGCAACAGCUCAAAUUUGAAAUCUGGCUCUUUUAGGGUCCGAGUUGUAAUUUGCAGAGGGCGCUUUGGCUAUGGCAGCGGUCCAAGUUCCUUGGAACAGGACGUCACAGAGGGUGAGAAUCCCGUACGUGGUCGCUAGCUAUCGCCGUGUAGAGCCCCUUCGACGAGUCGAGUUGUUUGGGAAUGCAGCUCUAAAUGGGAGGUAAAUUUCUUCUAAAGCUAAAUAUUGGCCAGAGACCGAUAGCGCACAAGUAGAGUGAUCGAAAGAUGAAAAGCACUUUGGAAAGAGAGUCAAACAGCACGUGAAAUUGUUGAAAGGGAAGCGCUUGCAGCCAGACUUGCUUGCAGUUGCUCAUCCGGGCUUUUGCCCGGUGCACUCUUCUGUAGGCAGGCCAGCAUCAGUUUGGGCGGUGGGAUAAAGGUCUCUGUCACGUACCUCUCUUCGGGGAGGCCUUAUAGGGGAGACGACAUACCACCAGCCUAGACUGAGGUCCGCGCAUCUGCUAGGAUGCUGGCGUAAUGGCUGUAAGCGACCCGUCUUGAAACACGGACC
Molecule: ribosomal RNA, 614 nt
Filed under: uncultured fungus
Lineage: Eukaryota; Fungi
Description: LSU rRNA
Rfam family: Eukaryotic large subunit ribosomal RNA
Source: RNAcentral